AGUUGCCUCUGCAUUGAGAAUUGAAAUUAAUAGAGCAUUGGCUGUCUUACGUGAUAUUGCAUCCGGGAGAGAUGUGGAGAAGUUCCUUACAGUAAUUGCUGGCUUGUGGGUUCUUUCGAUUGUUGGGAGUUGGUGCAACUUCUUGUCCUUGUUCUCCAUAGCCUCUGUUGUGCUGCACUUUGUGCCGGCAUCGUAUGAGAAAUAUGAGGACCAGGUUGAUUCAUUUUCUGAGAAGGCAUGGAUUGAGAUCAAGAAGCAGUAUGCGGUGUUUGAUGCGAAGGUUUUGAGCAACAUUCCCAAAGGGCUAUUGAAGGAAAAGAAGGAGGAUUAAAGACGUCCGUUUUUGUGUUAGCUAGGCUACUCGGUAAUUCUGUUAAACUAGAUUUUUGCCCGCG
This 395-nucleotide unclassified non-coding RNA is filed under the name Hevea brasiliensis (rubber tree). The record is from RNAcentral. Lineage: Eukaryota; Viridiplantae; Streptophyta; Magnoliopsida; Malpighiales; Euphorbiaceae.